UUCAACAGUGCCAGGAUAGUGCUCAAAAAUGACGACGGAACUGACAAGUAUGUCCUGAAAGGGUCUAAACCAAAGAAACAGUGGGUUGUCAUUCCACUGAAGGAAAAUGUGUCAUAUGGCUACGUGGACAAGCUAUUCGCAGAGCUCUUCAGAUGUUUGAGCAAGUGGCCAACAUAUGAAAGUGCCGAGAGGGCAAAUCCACGUGUGCAGCGGCCAACACUGUGCAGCUCCUAUGGAGAGAAGCCAAGCAUCGAAGAAGUUAGGCAGAAUCAUUGGAGUAGAUUCCAAAGAUAGAUACAUCCGUAUGCAAGGUAGGCCGCUGGUGCAAUCACUGGUUGCUUGUAAUGCGAUUCGAUAUGACCAUGCAUUAUCACAGUUGAAGGGAGACUGCACACAGAGAAGAAUGAAAGGAAUGCCCUUGUAGCUGAUGCUUUGGAUGUGUAUCACACUUCACACAAAAGGUAAAGGUGCCUCUUUUAGACGUAAAGCACUGAGAGAAACAAAAAUAAUGCAAUCAAUGCAAUUUUCACCCUGAUUUUCAUAAGUCUAACACCCAGCACAAGGCCCUAAUUUACGCACUAGCUAGCAUUUAUAUUGUGAUGUGUGACACUCGCAUAAUUGUAGGUUGCUUGGAGCAGGUGAGCUGGAUCAGCUGUAGUGAUGAUGGUAGUGUCUGUGCUCCUGAACUGACCUUGACAAACUCGUGACAAAAUGUGGACUACAGACAAGUGGGAUAUGACAGCUCAUGCACACCACGACAACAGAUGAAAACGGGCAACAGAUGAAAAUUAUGACCGUGAUUGCCAGGUAGCAUACCACUGGGAAGCCAGUAUGUGAUAUGUCAUUGCAUAUGUUAUGUAGGCAAACUGAGGAAACGUCAGUAUAAUUCAUUAUCACAGAUGACGACAAAAUGGUGCAAUGCGAAGAAUGGUCUGUUUUUAAUUGGGGCUGCCUUCUCACUGAAGAUAAGUAUUGCACGUACAUGCAAUCUUAUACAUAUAAAAUAUAGUAGGUUACAAUGACUUGAGAAACAACACAGUGUGACAUUGGUAUAAUUAUCUGUUGCAGGUAUGGCUGAAGGUAGCACCUUGAGAACAGGUGAUUGCAGUUGCCAUGUAGGAUACUUUUGGGACGCUGGUACGCGAUAUAACACUGAAUAUAUUAUGUAAGCAAACUGAGCAAACAUUGAUAAAAUGCG
Molecule: long non-coding RNA, 1198 nt
Organism: Ornithodoros turicata
Lineage: Eukaryota; Metazoa; Arthropoda; Arachnida; Ixodida; Argasidae
Exons: 3
Source: RefSeq, a predicted model, not a curated record